RNAcentral lists this ribosomal RNA (274 nucleotides) under uncultured bacterium. RNAcentral describes it as "partial 16S ribosomal RNA". It matches the Rfam family "Bacterial small subunit ribosomal RNA", at positions 523 to 796 of the family's 1533-position model. The record is from RNAcentral.
AUACGGAGGGUGCAAGCGUUACUCGGAAUCACUGGGCGUAAAGCGCGCGCAGGCGGCUUGAUAAGUUGGAUGUGAAAGCCUACGGCUCAACCGUAGAACUGCAUCCAAAACUAUUUGGCUAGAGUGUGGGAGAGGAAGAUGGAAUUAGUUGUGUAGGGGUAAAAUCCGUAGAGAUAACUAGGAAUACCAAAAGCGAAGGCAAUCUUCUGGAACAUUACUGACGCUGAGGCGCGAAAGCGUGGGGAGCAAACAGGAUUAGAAACCCCAGUAGUCC